GCCAAAAUUAAAAUGAUCCAAAGCAUAGUUCAAACCUGAGCCAAACAAUAAGGAGUUAAGUAGAAUCUACAGAUUCUCAAACAAGAACUCAUGGUAAAAAACUCCUAAGUUUCCGACUAUUAUUUUUUCUGUUUUCAUUUUUGCAGGAUCAAAGAAAAAAAUAUGAUCAAGUCAAAAUCAAAAUCAAAACCAAACUGAAGUCAAAAUUAAACUAAUAUAAAAUAAAAAUCAUCCAAAUUAAAGCAAAGCUUAAGCCUAAAUUGAGGCAAAAAAUAAAAAAGAGUUAAAUAA
RNAcentral lists this long non-coding RNA (291 nucleotides) under Elaeis guineensis (African oil palm). Its description in RNAcentral is "long non-coding RNA (EGUI_LNC030633)". Lineage: Eukaryota; Viridiplantae; Streptophyta; Magnoliopsida; Arecales; Arecaceae. The record is from RNAcentral.